RNAcentral lists this unclassified non-coding RNA (240 nucleotides) under soil metagenome. RNAcentral's name for it is "partial contains 5.8S ribosomal RNA, internal transcribed spacer 2, and large subunit ribosomal RNA". The record is from RNAcentral.
AACGCACGAGACCUGCGGACCUGCGGAGGGAUCAUUAAUGAGAAGCUGCCCCUCGUGGGUAGACCUCCCACCCUCUGUGAACUUACCUUUGUUGCUUUGGCAGGCCCGUCCUCUGGACCGCCGGCUUCGGCUGGCCCGUGCCUGCCAGAGGAUUCCAAACCCUGUCUGUCAGUGUUGUCUGAGUCUAUAUGAAAUCGUUGAAACUUUUAGCAACGGAUCUCUAGAUCGGAAGAGCACACG